This 301-nucleotide ribosomal RNA is filed under the name uncultured bacterium. RNAcentral's name for it is "partial 16S ribosomal RNA". It matches the Rfam family "Bacterial small subunit ribosomal RNA", at positions 509 to 809 of the family's 1533-position model. The record is from RNAcentral.
CAGUAGCCGCGGGAAUACGAAGGGGGCUAGCGUUGCUCGGAAUCACUGGGCGUAAAGGGUGCGUAGGCGGGUCUUUAAGUCAGGGGUGAAAUCCUGGAGCUCAACUCCAGAACUGCCUUUGAUACUGAAGAUCUUGAGUUCGGGAGAGGUGAGUGGAACUGCGAGUGUAGAGGUGAAAUUCGUAGAUAUUCGCAAGAACACCAGUGGCGAAGGCGGCUCACUGGCCCGAUACUGACGCUGAGGCACGAAAGCGUGGGGAGCAAACAGGAUUAGAUACCCCUGUAGUCCCUGUCUCUUAUAA